CACACAGAAAUUGACAGAAGAGAGUGAGCACACAAAAGUAAAUUGCAUAUGUUGCAUUUGCUUCUCUUGCGUGCUCACUGCUCUUUCUGUCAGAUUCCCGUGCUGAUCUC
This 110-nucleotide microRNA precursor is filed under the name Brassica napus (rape). RNAcentral's name for it is "miR156f stem-loop (bna-MIR156f)". Its record names the gene bna-MIR156f. The stretch from base 11 to 93 matches the Rfam family "mir-156 microRNA precursor family". From Rfam's summary of the family: This family represents the plant microRNA (miRNA) precursor mir-156. Animal miRNAs are transcribed as ~70nt precursors and subsequently processed by the Dicer enzyme to give a ~22nt product. In plants the precursor sequences may be longer, and the carpel factory (caf) enzyme appears to be involved in processing. The record is from miRBase by way of RNAcentral. Lineage: Eukaryota; Viridiplantae; Streptophyta; Magnoliopsida; Brassicales; Brassicaceae.